UACGGGAGGCAGCAGUGGGGAAUAUUGCACAAUGGGCGCAAGCCUGAUGCAGCCAUGCCGCGUGUAUGAAAAAGGCCUUCGGGUUGUAAAGUACUUUCAGUCGUGAGGAAGGUGUUAAGGUUAAUAACCUUAGCAAUUGACGUUAGCGACAGAAGAAGCACCGGCUAACUCCGUGCCAGCAGCCGCGGUAAUACGGAGGGUGCGAGCGUUAAUCGGAAUUACUGGGCGUAAAGGGCACGCAGGCGGUUAAUUAAGUUGGAUGUGAAAUCCCCGGGCUUAACCUGGGAAUGGCAUUCAAGACUGGUUAGCUAGAGUCUUGUAGAGGGGGUAGAAUUCCAUGUGUAGCGGUGAAAUGCGUAGAGAUGUGGAGGAAUACCGGUGGCGAAGGCGGCCCCGUGGACAAAGACUGACGCUCAUGUGCGAAAGCGUGGGGAGCAAACAGGAUUAGAUACC
This 453-nucleotide ribosomal RNA is filed under the name uncultured bacterium. RNAcentral describes it as "bacterial SSU rRNA". It matches the Rfam family "Bacterial small subunit ribosomal RNA", at positions 340 to 786 of the family's 1533-position model. The record is from RNAcentral.